Molecule: ribosomal RNA, 433 nt
Filed under: uncultured bacterium
Lineage: Bacteria
Description: partial 16S ribosomal RNA
Rfam family: Bacterial small subunit ribosomal RNA
Source: RNAcentral
AAUGAACGCUGGCGGCAUGCCUAACACAUGCAAGUCGAACGAGACCUUCGGGUCUAGUGGCGCACGGGUGCGUAACGCGUGGGAACCUGCCCUUAGGUUCGGAAUAACUCUCCGAAAGGGGUGCCAAUACCGGAUAAUGUCUUCGGACCAAAGAUUUAUCGCCUUUGGAUGGUCCCGCGUUGGAUUAGCUAGUUGGUAUGGUAAAAGCCUCCCAAGGCGACGAUCAAUAGCUGGUUUGAGAGAAUGAUCAGCCACACUGAGACUGAGACACGGCCGAGACUCCUACGGGAGGGAGGAGUGGGGAAUAUUGGACAGUGGGCUGAAGCAUGAUCCAGCAAUGCCGCGUGAGUGAUGAAAGUCUUAGGGUUGUAAUGCUCUUUUACCCGGGAUGAUAAUGACAGUACCGGGAGAAUAAGCUCCGGCUAACUCCGUG